AGUGGGGAAUAUUGCGCAAUGGGCGAAAGCCUGACGCAGCGACGCCGCGUGAGGGAUGACGGCCUUCGGGUUGUAAACCUCUUUCAGCAGGGACCAAGGGUGACUGAGUGUACCUGCAGAAGAAGCACCGGCUAACUACGUGCCAGCAGCCGCGGUAAUACGUAGGGUGCGAGCGUUGUCCGGAUUUAUUGGGCGUAAAGGGCUCGUAGGCGGCCUGUCGCGUCGGGAGUGAAAGCCCACUGCUUAACGGUGGGUCUGCUUCCGGUACGGGCGGGCUGGAGUAUGGCAGGGGAGACUGGAAUUCCUGGU
Molecule: ribosomal RNA, 309 nt
Filed under: uncultured temperate forest soil bacterium C6054s
Lineage: Bacteria; Bacillati; Actinomycetota; Actinomycetes
Description: bacterial SSU rRNA
Rfam family: Bacterial small subunit ribosomal RNA
Source: RNAcentral